This 708-nucleotide long non-coding RNA is filed under the name Pongo abelii (Sumatran orangutan). Its description in RNAcentral is "lincRNA". The record is from RNAcentral. Lineage: Eukaryota; Metazoa; Chordata; Mammalia; Primates; Hominidae.
UUGCUGCCCUUCCUCUUCCCCAGGGCACAGAAACACUCUCCACUGCGGCCAAGGAUUGCAGGAGAGGUGGCAUCAGUGAUUCAAGACUGCUUUUCCUACCUCUUCAGUGUUUCUUUCAGUGAUAUGAAGUUAAAGCCAGGAGGACUAUCACAGAAGUGAAGUGCAGUUCUCAUCAUGUCAUAUCAAUAGCACACACUAACAACCUGACUUAUUGCUGAAUAUUGAACUUGAUCACCUGGCUGAGGUAGUGUUUGCCAGAUUUCUCUGUAAAGGUGAAUAAACUGACACUGGAACAUUCAGGAACUUCUUCAUGGUCAUGGUCACCCAGCUAGAGUGUGGAAGCCAGGCUGUCUGAGUCCAGGAUCUGUGUUCUUAAUCCAACACAUAAGGAAGCCAUAAUGAGUCAACCACUAUUUUUAAGAUUCACAGAUGUUUGUGUCCAAUUCACCAGAAUGCCAAGUUAUACAGGGUUGUGGAAUCAAAAACUGCAAUUAGUAAUAAAAUGUGAUGCUAUCUGGAAUGUUUUUCAUACAUAUAUAUGCUUCUUGGGAUUCUCCCUGCAGGUUAAGAGAAAUUGAGGAACAAUGGAGAAUUUAAGUGUUUUAGAUCCUACAAACAUUAGACUUAAAAAUAGUAACUAUAUACAUGAGUAUUUAUAAACUUAAGAAUGAACAUAACAUGAACCAUGUGGCACCUAUAAAAUGAAAA